RNAcentral lists this ribosomal RNA (429 nucleotides) under Chloroflexota bacterium. RNAcentral's name for it is "Chloroflexi bacterium partial 16S ribosomal RNA". It matches the Rfam family "Bacterial small subunit ribosomal RNA", at positions 355 to 776 of the family's 1533-position model. The record is from RNAcentral. Lineage: Bacteria; Bacillati; Chloroflexota.
UGGGGAAUAUUGCACAAUGGGCGCAAGCCUGAUGCAGCCAUGCCGCGUGUAUGAAGAAGGCCUUCGGGUUGUAAAGUACUUUCAGCGGGGAGGAAGGGAGUAAAGUUAAUACCUUUGCUCUUUGACGUUACCCGCAGAAGAAGCACCGGCUAACUCCGUGCCAGCAGCCGCGGUAAUACGGAGGGUGCAAGCGUUAAUCGGAAUUACUGGGCGUAAAGCGCACGCAGGCGGUUUGUUUAGUCAGAUGUGAAAUCCCCGGGCUCAACCUGGGAACUGCAUCUGGUACUGGCAAGCUUGAGUCUCGUAGAGGGGGGUAGAAUUCCAGGUGUAGCGGUGAAAUGCGUAGAGAUCUGGAGGAAUACCGGUGGCGAAGGCGGCCCCCUGGACGAAGACGGACGCUCAGGUGCGAAAGCGUGGGGAGCAAACAGG